This is a long non-coding RNA of Zophobas morio, 145 nucleotides long. RefSeq lists it as uncharacterized. Lineage: Eukaryota; Metazoa; Arthropoda; Insecta; Coleoptera; Tenebrionidae. The transcript is spliced from 3 exons. The record is from RefSeq and is a predicted model, not a curated record.
CCAGUAGGCACGAAAGCGAUGACACUGAUAAGGAAUCAGAGCAAAUACAUCUCAGUUCAGCUAGUACACUAACAAUGUCAAGUGAUUCAGCGACCAGUUUCUCAACACAUUUUAUGAACACAGUUUUAAAAAACCAAGCUGCAAU